This is a ribozyme of Rhinopithecus bieti (black snub-nosed monkey), 265 nucleotides long. It matches the Rfam family "RNase MRP". Rfam says of the family: RNase MRP is an enzymatically active ribonucleoprotein with two distinct roles in eukaryotes. In mitochondria it plays a direct role in the initiation of mitochondrial DNA replication. In the nucleus it is involved in precursor rRNA processing, where it cleaves the internal transcribed spacer 1 between 18S and 5.8S rRNAs. NCBI's taxonomy places the organism in Eukaryota, Metazoa, Chordata, Mammalia, Primates, Cercopithecidae. The record is from Ensembl.
GGUCGUGCUGAAGGCCUGUAUCCUAGGCUACAAACGGGGGAUCUAUGUUCCUCUCUUCCUGCCUAGGGGAAAGUCCCCGGACCGCGGGCAGAGAGUGCCACGUGCAUAAGCACGUAGACUAUUCCCCAUUUUCCACUGUAAAGUCCGCUAAGAAGCGUGUCCCGCUGAGCGGCGUGGUGCGGGGGUCGUCGUCCGUCAGCUCUUCUAGUUACGCAGGCGGUGCGUCUGGGCGCACUAACCACACGGGGCUCAUUCUCAGCGCGGC